GCUUAACACAUGCAAGUCGAGCGACGAACCGGGCUUCGGCCCGGGGCAAAGCCGCGAACGGGUGAGUAUCACGUGGGUAACCUGCCCCGAUGACCGGGACAACCCGAGGAAACUCGGGCUAAUACCGGAUGUGUUCUCAAUCCAUCAGGGUUGUGAGCAAAGGAAGCUUCGGCCUCCGCAUCGGGAUGGGCCCGCGGCCCAUUAGCUUGUUGGUGAGGUAAAAGCUCACCAAGGCGACGAUGGGUAGCUGGUCUGAGAGGACGAUCAGCCACACUGGGACUGAGACACGGCCCAGACUCCUACGGGAGGCAGCAGUGGGGAAUCUUGCGCAAUGCGCGAAAGCGUGACGCAGCAACGCCGCGUGAGGGAAGAAGGCCUUCGGGUUGUAAACCUCUUUCAGGAGGGACGAAGCCAGGGCGGUGAAUAGCCGACCCUGGUGACGGUACCUCCAGAAGAAGCCCCGGCUAACUACGUGCCAGCCGCCGCGGUAAUUC
This 494-nucleotide ribosomal RNA is filed under the name uncultured bacterium. RNAcentral's name for it is "bacterial SSU rRNA". It matches the Rfam family "Bacterial small subunit ribosomal RNA", at positions 46 to 526 of the family's 1533-position model. The record is from RNAcentral.